Non-coding RNA from Phascolarctos cinereus (koala), 608 nucleotides. Lineage: Eukaryota; Metazoa; Chordata; Mammalia; Diprotodontia; Phascolarctidae. The record is from RefSeq and is a predicted model, not a curated record.
UAGAGAGAAACAAUCCAAGCAGUAGCAAAAGCUGAGUGGAAGAAGCCUCCUGGAGCAGGCUUGCUUCCUAUGUAGGUAAUUAGAAAGCAAUAGCUCAAUUAACAAAGCAGGAAAGAAGUGGCUGGAAGGCCUUUCAGUCUGAUACCAGCAGCUUGCUGGCUUGGACAAGCCUCAACCAGAGAUUUUUGAAUAUCAAAGGAUUUCCUGAGAGAAUACAAGAGAGACCAGAAGAUGAAGCAGAGGAGACCCUUGAGUAUAUUUGAUGAAAAUCAUUGACCUGUUCUAUAUGAGAUCCUCAAGGACAGGGGCAGGUUUUGAUUUUGUCUUUCUAUCUCCAGAAUCUGGUACACGAUAAGAAUGUACUGAGCUGAAGCUGUUAUUGGAUGAAGAUGAUGAAGAUAUGAUGAUGAUGAUGAUGACAUCAUAGGCUUCUGCUUCCCAUCAGUUUUGUGUAUGCAAUUGUAAAAAGUAAUGAGACUGGAAGAUAUAUUACCAGGUGACAUGAGGCAUUAUCCUUGUUGAAGAUAUUGUUGGAGCAAGUUGUGGUAUAUGAAUGUAAUGGAAUACUGUUGUGCUAUAAGAAAUGAUGAACAGGCAGACUUCAAAAA